GUGCUCACUUCAACAGCACAUAUACUACAACUGGAAUACACAGAGGAGAUUAGCACGGCUCCUGCUCAAAGACAACACACAAGAUCGUGAGGCAUUCCGUAUUUAA
Molecule: small nuclear RNA, 106 nt
Organism: Phascolarctos cinereus (koala)
Lineage: Eukaryota; Metazoa; Chordata; Mammalia; Diprotodontia; Phascolarctidae
Source: Ensembl